Molecule: ribosomal RNA, 2352 nt
Filed under: Clostridioides difficile
Lineage: Bacteria; Bacillati; Bacillota; Clostridia; Peptostreptococcales; Peptostreptococcaceae
Description: 23S ribosomal RNA
Rfam family: Bacterial large subunit ribosomal RNA
Source: RNAcentral
GAAACCCUGCACUUACAAGCUGUGGAAGCACAUUUCUUGUGUGACCGCGUACUUUUUGUAGAACGGGCCAACGAGUUACGUUAAGUAGCAAGGUUAAGCACUUAAGGUGCGGAGCCGUAGCGAAAGCGAGUUUUAACUGAGCGUUCAGUUACUUGACGUAGACCCGAAACCGGGCGACCUACCCAUGAGCAGGAUGAAGCGAAAGUAAAAUUUCGUGGAGGUCCGAACCCACGAGCGUUGAAAAGCUCGGGGAUGACUUGUGGGUAGCGGUGAAAUUCCAAUCGAGCCCGGAGAUAGCUGGUUCUCCCCGAAAUAGCUUUAGGGCUAGCCUCAAGGUGAGAGAUACGGAGGUAGAGCACUGAAUGUCCUAGGGGGUAUUGCACCUACCGAAGACUAUCAAACUCCGAAUGCCGUCAUCUUAUACUUGGGAGUCAGACUGUGGGUGAUAAGAUUCAUAGUCGAAAGGGCAACAGCCCAGAUCGUCAGCUAAGGUCCCUAAAUGUAAGUUAAGUGGUAAAGGAUGUGGGAUUGCACAGACAACCAGGAUGUUGGCUUAGAAGCAGCCACUCAUUCAAAGAGUGCGUAAUAGCUCACUGGUCGAGUGAUCCUGCGCCGAAGAUUUCCGGGGCUAAAACUUACUACCGAAGCUACGGCAUCAGUAAUGAUGGGUAGGGGAGCUUCCCAUACGGGUUGAAGCAUGACCGUAAGGACAUGUGGACAGUAUGGGAGUGAGAAUGUUGGCAUGAGUAGCGAGAUGUGGGUGAGAAUCCCACAGGCCGUAAACCCAAGGUUUCCAGGGGAAGGUUCGUCCGCCCUGGGUUAGUCGGAACCUAAGCUGAGGCCGAAAGGCGUAGGUGAUGGACAACAGGUUGAUAUUCCUGUACUACCGAUAACCAUUUGAGAGAAGGGAUGACACAGUAGGAUAAGCUAAGCACACUGUUGGUUAUGUGUGCCCAAGCAUUGAGGCAGUCAAAGUAGGCAAAUCCGCUUUGAUAAUGCUGGGAUGUGAUGGGGAGCGAAAUUUAGUAGCGAAGUAGCUGAUUUCACACUGUCAAGAAAAGUCUCUAUCGAGGUUAAAGGUACCCGUACCGCAAACCGACACAGGUGGGUGAGGAGAGUAUCCUAAGGCCAGCGAGAGAACUGUUGUUAAGGAACUCGGCAAAAUGACCCCGUAACUUAGGGAUAAGGGGUGCCACCAUCAGGUGGCCGCAGAGAAUAGGCCCAAGCGACUGUUUACCAAAAACAUAGGUUUCUGCUAAGUCGCAAGACGAUGUAUAGGAGCUGACGCCUGCCCGGUGCUGGAAGGUUAAGGGGAUCUGUUAGAGCAAUCGAAGCAGUGAACUUAAGCCCCAGUAAACGGCGGCCGUAACUAUAACGGUCCUAAGGUAGCGAAAUUCCUUGUCGGGUAAGUUCCGACCCGCACGAAAGGCGUAACGAUUUGGGCACUGUCUCAACAACAGACUCGGUGAAAUUGUAAUUCCGGUGAAGAUGCCGGAUACCUGCGACAGGACGGAAAGACCCCAUGGAGCUUUACUGUAGCUUGACAUUGGGUCUUGGUACUACAUGUACAGGAUAGGUGGGAGGCUUUGAAACCAGGACGCCAGUUUUGGCGGAGCCAUCCUUGGGAUACCACCCUUGUAGUACUGGGACUCUAACCAUAGGCCAUGAAUCUGGUCUUGGGACACUGUCAGGUGGGCAGUUUGACUGGGGCGGUCGCCUCCCAAAAGGUAACGGAGGCGCUCAAAGGUUCUCUCAGUACGGUCGGAAAUCGUACGUAGAGUGUAAAGGCAAAAGAGAGCUUGAUUGCAAGACAUACAGGUCGAGCAAGGAUGAAAAUCGGACUUAGUGAUCCGGUGGUUCUGCGUGGAAGGGCCAUCGCUCAACGGAUAAAAGCUACCCUGGGGAUAACAGGCUUAUCUCCCCCAAGAGUCCACAUCGACGGGGAGGUUUGGCACCUCGAUGUCGGCUCAUCACAUCCUGGGGCUGUAGUAGGUCCCAAGGGUUGGGCUGUUCGCCCAUUAAAGUGGUACGCGAGCUGGGUUCAGAACGUCGUGAGACAGUUCGGUCCCUAUCCGUCGCAGGCGUAGGAAAUUUGAGAAGACCUGUCCUUAGUACGAGAGGACCGGGAUGGACGUACCUCUGGUGUACCAGUUGUCCUGCCAAGGGCAUGGCUGGGUAGCUAUGUACGGAAUGGAUAAGCGCUGAAAGCAUCUAAGCGCGAAGCCAACUUCAAGAUAAGAUUUCCCACCGCAAGGGUAAGACCCCAGAAAGACUAUCUGGUUGAUAGGUCGAAGGUGUAAGUGCAGCAAUGUAUUUAGCUUAUCGAUACUAAUAGGUCGAGGACUUGACCAA